AUGGCUUCUACCGCUCA
RNAcentral lists this unclassified non-coding RNA (17 nucleotides) under Mus musculus (house mouse). RNAcentral describes it as "oocyte_clustered_small_RNA10368". Lineage: Eukaryota; Metazoa; Chordata; Mammalia; Rodentia; Muridae. The record is from RNAcentral.